UGGAAUAGGCGCUUCACUCUCGCUUCCAAUGCAAAGUAGGGGAGGCUUUCGCUAAUAGAAACGACAAGGGGUAGAGCGCCGCCACUGUGCUUCCAUAGAGCACCAUAGCCCGUGGCCAGUCCUCAUUUUUGCCGGAAAUUCAAGCUGUAUUAUUAUUUUGCCUACGGAAGCCUGCAAAGGUCAAGGGAGAAGGCAAGGGUCUGCGCAGAGGCGUUUUGUGCUUGUUUGCAGGCAUGUCGCACAUGUCGGCGAAGAAGCGGCUAGCUAAGCCGUUCUUAUUUGGGAGCAUUUUAUGCGCUUUGGCCACCGCCUUCGUGUACAGACAUCAGUUUUUCCCUGAGAUAGAAGAGCUUCGUGCCCAGGAGUAUCAACGCCAUGAGAAGAAGCGCCAAGAAGUGCUGCAGAGGCGCCAGAAGCAAUUGGCUGAGCUAGCACAGAAAAGAAGUGCCUCUUAGUGGGCCUGUACUGCUGACAGAAACAGAGACCUGACUGGCCUGCUGACUAAAUGGACCAGGUGGGAUUUCUCACCUACCCACAACCUUUGUGUGUGUGUGGGGGGGCAAUUUGGCCUCCAGCAGCUGCGUGCACUUGCCUUGUUCACUGAGUGAUGUGACUUAUCAAGUAAAACCGGGCUUGGGGAGUGAGGAAACUUGACAUCAGUUCUUGGUUGUUUUACUGAAUUAUUUCUUAUGCCUUGGAACAUGAAACAAAACCAUUGUUUUAUCAGACAGUAUUAAGUGAUUAAAAAAAACAUUCAGGACUAUGUUGAAUAGUAAAAGCCUCCCUUUAGAAUUUUUUCACCAAUAUAUAACAUAGUUAGUGCCUGGUCAGAAGCGCCUAGGUCACUGCCUGGUGCAUGGGGUAAAACUAGCUUUGCUGAACAUACUUUUAAAAAUCAUUGUCUAGGACACAGUAAUUUUUGAAGCAUUAUUUAGAUUUUUGUGAAGUUUCUCAGCCAAAUAGGGGUGGAGAAGAGGCAAAAGAGAAGAGUCUUUUAUCUCUUCUGUGUGAAGGUUCCUCAAGUAUUCCUACAUUGGGUCACCACACAGUCUUUGUUCACCUUUUAAUAACACCUGGAAGAUCUGGUCAUGGGAAGGACUCUCAUUGGUUAGACACUCAAUUGUAAAUGAAACAGAUUAUAUAACUCUAUUUUUUCCAUGUACAUUUUUUACGCAGAUAAAAUGACGACCUCUGCAUAUUUGUAGGUGUGGAUACAAUAAUUCAGUUGGAGCUGCCUGUAUUUUGUAUGCCUGUUCGGAAUUCCUAUUAUUGUACUUUGGAUAAAAAUUCUGCUUCCAGGAUUCAGAUUUUCAAAGGACUUAAACGGGGGGUUGGGGGGGGUUGGGUUAUUGGAUGAGCUAAUGAUAGUUAUCAGAGAGAAAUCAGAUUUGCAUGUGGGUAAUGCGUAUAGGUAAUGUUAAUAAUUUUAGUAGGAUGUAUGUACUUGUAAUACAUUUAGGAUCAUGGUGUAAUGGUAUUUCAUCUUGCUUCCACCAUUUGUUUGCUGUUUAAGUUAAAGGUAGUAAAUCUGGAUUAUGCCUUCGGAUAUUAGUUGGGGGACGGGCAAUGAAGGAGGACUGUUGUCUUCUUCCCUAGUUUGUUAACUUUCUGUAAAAUCUGAGUAGCCUGUGUUGGAAUAAGAUUCUGAACUAUAUGGACCAUGAUGCAUAAGAAGCAGGACCAUGAUGCAUAAGAAGCAGGACCAUGAUGCAUAAGAAGAGUGUGAAGUGUGCAAUUCACUGGAGAGAUCGUAUUCAACUGAAAUGAAUGAGAAUCGCACCACUGUGCUCUUCUGCUUCUCCCACUCACCUCAGUGAACUUUCCCAAUUGUGCCUCAAAUAAACACAGUUGAUUGACAAAGAAAAGGGGAAUGGAUGCAAAUGAAUAACAACAAGGAAGGAAUGACUUCUAUAUAUUUAAUGUCUGCUAAGAGCUGUAAAAUUUCCAGAAAUUUCCAUGCCAUGGGAAAUUUUUUCCCCUGUUUUAUUUUCUGGGGGGAUGGCAAUUUUGGGAAAAAUUGAAAUAUAUGCAACACUUUCUGUCCUGUCAAACCUAAAAUAAUGUUACUACUUUAACGACAUAAAAACAUCAUUUAAAACUUACUUAACAUAUAAAAUUGCAAUUUUUGACAUUUAUGGAAUUUAAAAGUUAUUUAAUGCCAUAGUUUUGUCAAGCAAAGUUGCAAAUACACCCAAUGCUUUAGAGAAAACUGCAAGCUCAUGCACCCUAUGCUAUCUUACACAUGUACAUUGAUUUUUGCUGUCUGGUUAGAGAGAGCUCAGUUCUCAGUGAAACUUUCUGUUUUCCUCUGAGGCUUUGGUGCAUUUUCUGCUUCACCUCUGAUUUUUAUCUCCCUCCUGCAAAGUAGGACAAUAAACUAUUUUUUUUAGCUAAUCUAUUGGUAAAUGUGGCAGCUGUGGAAGAUCAGUCAGGCCAGAUUGAAAGGACAAGAGAAGGCAUGCAACUGUUGAGAAGCAACGAGAGCCCUCCAUUUUCCCCUCAGAAAGAUUGGGUAUCCUUCCUUCUAGGUAUGGAACUGCACCUUGGAUUUAUGAGCUGUAUACGUUUACAGUAAAAGUAUUUAACUCAUUCUAAAAGAGAAAAUAUUUCAUAGACUCCCCCCCCACCCCACCCCACCCGGUUCAAUUUUUGCAUUGGAAAAACUGGAGGGGGAGGCCUUGCGAAAAUCACAAGAACAAGUUUUUCCCUGAAUUUUUCCAGGGUUUUUUUGGGGGGGGCCAUGACAUUUCUAUGUCUGCUUGGCCAGUUUUUCAUAUGAUCUGGACCAAGAGGGAAGCAUUUGGAAAAACUGUCUUGUAGUUGCUUUAGGUCAGACUGAUGAUGGCAGUAUCAGCAGUUAUGUGGGACACAUGCUGUCAGCAGCAUUUAAUGGGCUCUAAGCUAAUCAAGGAAAAUAUCUUGGAAGAACUCAAAAAUGUCAUCCCUUUCAAUCCCAGACUUUUGGGACUAUUUGGUCUAAGUUUUGAGGACAAUCAUAACAUCACUGAUUCAUUGAGCUGGCUCAGCUAAGAACAUAACUUGUCCUUUAAGAAUUUCAGUUUUAGUUUGCUUGCGUGUGAAUGAUGCAUAUGAUUUAAAGUACUCAAGGUAUAAAUUGUGGUUUUAUGAUCUAGAAAACUUGUUAAAGCCAAGCAGGUAUGGGCAGUAAUCAGUUUGGGUUAAGAGACCUCUUGGAAAUCCUUUGUAAACCAUGAUAAGUGGGAUAUAAAUUGAAUUAUUAAUAAUAAUUGCUCAUUAGGAGAGUCAUGGAAUCAAUGUGGGGGAAAUCUGAGAAUUGUUAAAAUAAAGUGAUUUUGAGUA
Long non-coding RNA from Sphaerodactylus townsendi, 3321 nucleotides. RefSeq lists it as uncharacterized. NCBI's taxonomy places the organism in Eukaryota, Metazoa, Chordata, Lepidosauria, Squamata, Sphaerodactylidae. The transcript is spliced from 2 exons. The record is from RefSeq and is a predicted model, not a curated record.